GCAAGCAAUCAAAAUGCUUUUACCAGCUUCGAAGGUUAAUUGUUUUUCGCUUUUGUUGGAAUAGUUGAUAUUUAUGGUCCAGAAACAGUAAUUUACGCUUCGUUAAAUUUAUGUGAUCGUUACUAACGGUAAAUAUAGGUGCUUGAAAUUUUGGAAACGAGCUUCUUUCAGCUGUAUAACCUGCGGUAGGGUGCCAGACUAAGAGACGCAAAAUGGGAAAAAUUCAAGUAAUCCGACUUACUGUUAUUUUUGUUAUAUUGCUGCAAGCAGGCCGCAGUAGUGCCAUUGAUCCUCCAGAUAUUUUAUCCUUGCGCUACUUUACGGCAACAGACUGUGUCCAAAAUUGUGCUUACUUAUGUAAAUCGGAUAAUUGCCUCAUUGGAGGAUGCAUAGGGCAGGUUUGUUAUUGUGGUAACUGUAUGCCUACAUGAAGUACUACAUAAUAUGAUUUGGAUACAAUAAAUAAAAAAACAUGUGUAGAUCGACUAUUAAACACUAACUUUAAUCUAA
This is a long non-coding RNA of Photinus pyralis (common eastern firefly), 510 nucleotides long. RefSeq lists it as uncharacterized. The transcript is spliced from 2 exons. The record is from RefSeq and is a predicted model, not a curated record. NCBI's taxonomy places the organism in Eukaryota, Metazoa, Arthropoda, Insecta, Coleoptera, Lampyridae.